CAGAAGUGCGAAUGCUGACAUAAGUAACGAUAAAGCGGGUGAAAAGCCCGCUCGCCGGAAGACCAAGGGUUCCUGUCCAACGUUAAUCGGGGCAGGGUGAGUCGACCCCUAAGGCGAGGCCGAAAGGCGUAGUCGAUGGGAAACAGGUUAAUAUUCCUGUACUUGGUGUUACUGCGAAGGGGGGACGGAGAAGGCUAUGUUGGCCGGGCGACGGUUGUCCCGGUUUAAGCGUGUAGGCUGGUUUUCCAGGCAAAUCCGGAAAAUCAAGGCUGAGGCGUGAUGACGAGGCACUACGGUGCUGAAGCAACAAAUGCCCUGCUUCCAGGAAAAGCCUCUAAGCAUCAGGUAACAUCAAAUCGUACCCCAAACCGACACAGGUGGUCAGGUAGAGAAUACCAAGGCGCUUGAGAGAACUCGGGUGCAGGAACUAGGCAAAAUGGUGACGUAACUUCGGGAGAAGGCACGCUGAUAUGUAGGUGA
Molecule: ribosomal RNA, 480 nt
Filed under: Escherichia coli
Lineage: Bacteria; Pseudomonadati; Pseudomonadota; Gammaproteobacteria; Enterobacterales; Enterobacteriaceae
Description: bacterial LSU rRNA
Rfam family: Bacterial large subunit ribosomal RNA
Source: RNAcentral